GAUGAACGCUGGCGGCGUGCCUAAUACAUGCAAGUCGAGCGAACAGAUAAGGAGCUUGCUCCUUUGACGUUAGCGGCGGACGGGUGAGUAACACGUGGGUAACCUACCUAUAAGACUGGGAUAACUUCGGGAAACCGGAGCUAAUACCGGAUAACAUUUGGAACCGCAUGGUUCUAAAGUGAAAGAUGGUUUUGCUAUCACUUAUAGAUGGGCCCGCGCCGUAUUAGCUAGUUGGUAAGGUAACGGCUUACCAAGGCGACGAUACGUAGCCGACCUGAGAGGGUGAUCGGCCACACUGGAACUGAGACACGGUCCAGACUCCUACGGGAGGCAGCAGUAGGGAAUCUUCCGCAAUGGGCGAAAGACUGACGGAGCAACGCCGCGUGAGUGAUGAAGGGUUUCGGCUCGUAAAACUCUGUUAUUAGGGAAGAACAAAUGUGUAAGUAACUGUGCACGUCUUGACGGUACCUAAUCAGAAAGCCACGGCUAACUACGUG
This 497-nucleotide ribosomal RNA is filed under the name uncultured bacterium. RNAcentral's name for it is "partial 16S ribosomal RNA". It matches the Rfam family "Bacterial small subunit ribosomal RNA", at positions 28 to 507 of the family's 1533-position model. The record is from RNAcentral.